RNAcentral lists this ribosomal RNA (324 nucleotides) under Triticum aestivum (bread wheat). Its description in RNAcentral is "partial small subunit ribosomal RNA". The record is from RNAcentral. Lineage: Eukaryota; Viridiplantae; Streptophyta; Magnoliopsida; Poales; Poaceae.
AUGUAUUUUCUUGUAGUUGCACCUUUACUGAAGGAUCUAUACAUAAUGGUAUGGGACCAUGAGUGUAAAAUGGAAAUGGACGAGGAGACGAGGAAAGAAGAAUCAUAUAGUGAAAACAAGGGUGUAGAGUGGGACUCAGCGGCAGCAGAUUUCCAACACCACAGUUUUGUCACACUCGUCAUGUUUGGCUUUGAAUCUGAAGAUUGCUUUGUUAGUUAUGUCAGACGUGUUCUAGCGGCGGCGGUCAAUCUAGAGGAUGUGUUCCUGUAUUGUGGGUUGGAGUGUGAUGAUUGCCCUGAGAAGAAGCUUGGCAGGCACCCCUAG